AGAAUCAACGCUGGCGGCGUGCCUAACACAUGCAAGUCGAGCGCGAAAGGGGGGCAACUCCUGAGUAGAGCGGCGAACGGGUGAGUAACGCGUGGGUAAUCUACCUUCGAGUGGGGAAUAACCCCGGGAAACUGGGGCUAAUACCGCAUGACAUCAUCGGGUCUUCGGGUCUGAUGAUCAAAGCCGGGGACCGCAAGGCCUGGCGCUUGAAGACGAGCCCGCGUCCGAUUAGCUAGUUGCGGGGUAAUGGCCCACCAAGGCUUCGAUC
Molecule: ribosomal RNA, 268 nt
Filed under: uncultured soil bacterium
Lineage: Bacteria
Description: partial 16S ribosomal RNA
Rfam family: Bacterial small subunit ribosomal RNA
Source: RNAcentral